Molecule: transfer RNA, 71 nt
Filed under: Nacella magellanica
Lineage: Eukaryota; Metazoa; Mollusca; Gastropoda; Nacellidae
Also listed under: 2 other names
Description: tRNA-Ile
Source: RNAcentral
UAGCACUGUGCCGGAUAAAACGGGUUACUUUGAUGUAGUAAGAUAUGAUGUCUAAGCGCUUCCAGUGUUAU